GAUGAACGCUAGCUACAGGCUUAACACAUGCAAGUCGAGGGGAAACGACAUCGAAAGCUUGCUUUUGGUGGGCGUCGACCGGCGCACGGGUGAGUAACGCGUAUCCAACCUGCCCACCACUUGGGGAUAACCCUGCGAAAGUAAGACUAAUACCCAAUGAUAUCCCACGAAGGCAUCCGAAUGGGAUUAAAGAUUUAUCGGUGAUGGAUGGGGAUGCGUCUGAUUAGCUUGUUGGCGGGGUAACGGCCCACCAAGGCAACGAUCAGUAGGGGUUCUGAGAGGAAGGUCCCCCACAUUGGAACUGAGACACGGUCCAAACUCCUACGGGAGGCAGCAGUGAGGAAUAUUGGUCAAUGGGCGAGAGCCUGAACCAGCUAAGUAGCGUGCAGGAUGACGGCCCUAUGGGUUGUAAACUGCUUUUAUAAGGGAAUAAAGUGGGUCUCGUGAGACUUUUUGCAUGUACCUAUGAAUAAGGAACCGGCUAAAUUCCGUG
This 493-nucleotide ribosomal RNA is filed under the name uncultured bacterium. RNAcentral's name for it is "bacterial SSU rRNA". It matches the Rfam family "Bacterial small subunit ribosomal RNA", at positions 28 to 507 of the family's 1533-position model. The record is from RNAcentral.